AUGACUAAAGAUCUUACCAGCAAGAUGCAUCUGAAGCAAAAAUUAUUCCUGCACAGGUUACCUGAGGGAGGUAAUGUUUUGAAUCAUAUUUCAGAAUUUAAAGAGAUCAUAUCUGAUCUAGCUGCAAUGGAGGUUAAGUAUGAAGAGGAAGAUACAGCUUUAAUGUUACUUUGUUCACUGCCAAGUUCUUAUACCAAUUUUAGAGACACCAUAUUAUACAAUCGUGAUACUCUCACGCUCAAUGAAGUUUAUGGAGCUUUGAACUCUAAGGAGAAGAUGAAAUUAACGGUGCCUCAUGAUGGUUCAAGUUCAUCCCAAGCCGAGGGAUUAUCGGUUCGUGGCAGGACAAAGGAGAAGAACUUCAAUAAUGGAAACAGAGGCAAAAGUAAGAACGGCCACAGGGGCCGGUCGCAAUCCAGAGACAAGAAGUAUUGCAGAUAUUGCAAGAGAGGCGGGCAUGCCAUCUCAGAGUGUUUCAAGUUGCAGAACAAGGAAAAGAGAAAAGGUAACAAACCAGGUGAAAAUUCUGCUAACGUUGCUCGUGAUGAUAGUUCCGAUGAUGCUCUUGUCGUUAUUGCUGGAUGCGCUGAGACCAAUGAUGAGUGGGUACUUGACACUGCAUACACUUUUCAUAUGUGUCCACAUAGAGAUUGGUUUAAUACUUUUGAUUCCACUACUGCUGUUGGUUCCGUUUUGGGUUUUGAUAAUUCACCAUGCAAGAUUGAAGGCAUAGGUUCUAUUCGAAUCAAGAUGUUUGAUGGCAUAAUCAGAACUUUGACAGAUGUUCGGUAG
Molecule: ribosomal RNA, 792 nt
Filed under: Triticum aestivum (bread wheat)
Lineage: Eukaryota; Viridiplantae; Streptophyta; Magnoliopsida; Poales; Poaceae
Description: partial small subunit ribosomal RNA
Source: RNAcentral